Molecule: ribosomal RNA, 498 nt
Filed under: uncultured bacterium
Lineage: Bacteria
Description: partial 16S ribosomal RNA
Rfam family: Bacterial small subunit ribosomal RNA
Source: RNAcentral
GAUGAACGCUGGCGGCGUGCCUAAUACAUGCAAGUCGAGCGGACGAAUCGAAAGCUUGCUUUUGAUUCGUUAGCGGCGGACGGGUGAGUAACACGUGGGCAACCUGCCCUGUAGACGGGGAUAACACCGAGAAAUCGGUGCUAAUACCGGAUAACACGAAAUGUCGCAUGACGUUUCGUUGAAAGACGGCGCAAGCUGUCGCUACAGGAUGGGCCCGCGGCGCAUUAGCUAGUUGGUGAGGUAACGGCUCACCAAGGCGACGAUGCGUAGCCGACCUGAGAGGGUGAUCGGCCACACUGGGACUGAGACACGGCCCAGACUCCUACGGGAGGCAGCAGUAGGGAAUCUUCCGCAAUGGACGAAAGUCUGACGGAGCAACGCCGCGUGAGCGAAGAAGGCCUUCGGGUCGUAAAGCUCUGUUGUUAGGGAAGAACAAGUAACGCAGUAACUGGCGUUACCGUGACGGUACCUAACGAGAAAGCCACGGCUAACUACGUG